RNAcentral lists this long non-coding RNA (1452 nucleotides) under Salmo salar (Atlantic salmon). RNAcentral's name for it is "lncRNA (ENSSSAG00000097808.1)". The record is from RNAcentral. Lineage: Eukaryota; Metazoa; Chordata; Actinopteri; Salmoniformes; Salmonidae.
GUGAUUACAGCUAUGAGUGUUUCUGGGUAAGUCUCUAAGAGCAGUGAGUCAUUCUGGGUAAGUUUUUAAGAGCCGUGAGUCUUUCUGGGUGAGUCUCCAAGAGCUGUGAGUCUUUCUGGGUAAGUCUCUAAGAGCUGUGAGUCUUUCUGGGUAAGUCUCUAAGAGCUGUGAGUCUUUUUGGGUAUGUCUCUAAGAGCUGUGAGUCUUUCUGGGUAAGUCUCUAAGAGCUGUGAGUCUUUCUGGGUAAGUCUCUAAGAGCUGUGAGUUUCUGGGAAAGUCUCUAAGAGCUUUCCACACCUGGAUUGUACAAUAUUUGCCCAUUUAUAAUUUUCAACAUUCUUCAAGCUCUGUCAAGUUGGUUGCUGAUCAUUGCUAGACAGCUAUUUUCAAGUCUCACUAUAGACUUUCAAGUAGAUUUAAGUCAAAACUCUAACUCGGCCACUCACUGUCUUCUUGGUAAGCAACUCCAGUGUAGAUUUGGCCUUGUUUCUAGCGCAUCGUGGAACACACCUUACAUUUUUCAUUCUUCAUUAUUUUCCGUUAUUUUAAUUGAUUAUCCCUUACAUGCUUAAAGGGAAAUUCAAUGUCAGCUUCUUUUUCUUCUUUUUUAACACAUCUACCCAUAUGUGCCCUUCUUUGUGAGGUAUUGGAAAACCUCCCUGGUCUUUGUGGUUGAAUCUGUGUUUGAAAUUCACUGCUUGACAGAGGGACCUUACAGAUAAUUGUAUAUGUGGGGUACAGAGAUGAGGUAGUCAUAAAAAUCGAAUGUUAAACACUAUUAUUGCGCUCAGAGUGAGUCCAUGUGACUUGUUAAGCACAUUUUUACUCCUGAACUUAUUUAGGCUUGCCAUAACAAAGGGGUUGAAUACUUAUUGACUCAAGACAUUUCAGCUUUUCAUUUUUAAUACAUUUUGUAAAAAUGUCUAUAAAUAUAUACAUUCCCACACUGAGGUUGGAAUAAUACUGUGACAUUGUAAAAACAAUGAUAUCGUCCUUUUAGUGUAAAAUAUCAAGCUGUUUUGGUGGGAUGGAGUUUUCACCGGCCUGAUUACUGUAUUUUAUUUUUUAGGCUAGUGACAAGAAAUCUCUAUCUUAAGGCUAGGCGUCCAGCUAGUGGGACAACUUCUGGUGAAACUGGAGGGCACACAAUUCAAAUAAAUAAUCAUACAAAUUAUGGAUAUUAAACAUUUAUGUACAUACAAGUGUCUUAUAUCGGUUAAAAGCUUAAACUCUUGUUAAUCUAACCUCACUGUCAGAUUUACAGCGAAAGCAUGCCAUGCGAUUGUUUGAGGACAGCACCCCACAUCAAAAUAUUUUUUCACCAGCACAGGUUUCAUAAAUUCACAAAUAGCGAUUAAAUAUUCACUUACUUUUUGAAAAUCUUCCUCUGAUUUGUCAUCCAAAGGGUCCCAGCUACAACAUGUAGUGUCGUUUUGUCAGAUAAAAUCCUUC